RNAcentral lists this ribosomal RNA (406 nucleotides) under uncultured bacterium. Its description in RNAcentral is "partial 16S ribosomal RNA". It matches the Rfam family "Bacterial small subunit ribosomal RNA", at positions 29 to 526 of the family's 1533-position model. The record is from RNAcentral.
AUUGAACGCUGGCGGCAGGCCUAACACAUGCAAGUCGAGCGAGCGGCGGACGGGUGAGUAAUGUCUGGGAAACUGCCUGAUGGCGGGGGAUAACUACUGGAAACGGUAGCUAAUACCGCAUACCAUCAGAUGUGCCCAGAUGGGAUUAGCUAGUAGGUCGGGUAAUGGCUCACCUAGGCGACGAUCCCUAGCUGGUCUGAGAGGAUGACCAACGACGCUGGAACUGAUACACGGAACUGACUCCUACGGGAGGAAGCAGUGGGGAAUAUGGCACAAGGGGCGCAAGCCGGAUGCAGGGAUGCCGCGUGUGUGAAGAAGGCCAUCGGGUUGUAAGGCACUUUCAGCGGGGGGGCGUUACCCGCAGAAGAAGCACCGGCUAACUCCGUGCCAGCAGCCGCGGUAAUUC